Molecule: microRNA precursor, 193 nt
Organism: Oryza sativa Japonica Group (Japanese rice)
Lineage: Eukaryota; Viridiplantae; Streptophyta; Magnoliopsida; Poales; Poaceae
Rfam family: MIR812 microRNA precursor family
Source: Rfam
AAAAAGAUAAACCCUGGUUUCCGUGCCUAACGUUUGACCGUUCGUCUUAUUUAAAAAAAUUAAAAAGACAAGUCACGCAUAAAAUAUUAAUCAUGUUUUAUUAUCUAACAACAAUAAAAAUACGAAUUAUAAAAAAAUUUCAUAUAAGACGGACGAUCAAAAUUGAACACGGAAACCCAGAGUUUGUCUUUUU